RNAcentral lists this ribosomal RNA (396 nucleotides) under uncultured bacterium. Its description in RNAcentral is "partial 16S ribosomal RNA". It matches the Rfam family "Bacterial small subunit ribosomal RNA", at positions 523 to 918 of the family's 1533-position model. The record is from RNAcentral.
AUACGUAGGGGGCGAGCGUUGUCCGGAAUUAUUGGGCGUAAAGCGCAUGUAGGCGGUUUGGUAAGUCGGUCGUGAAAAUGCGGUGCUUAACGCCGUAUGGCGAUUGAAACUGCUGAACUUGAGUGCAGGAGAGGAAAGGGGAACUCCCAGUGUAGCGGUGAAAUGCGUAGAUAUUGGGAAGAACACCGGUGGCGAAGGCGCCUUUCUGGACUGUGUCUGACGCUCAGAUGCGAAAGCCAGGGUAGCGAACGGGAUUAGAUACCCCGGUAGUCCUGGCCGUAAACGAUGGGUACUAGGUGUGGGAGGUAUCGACUCCUUCCGUGCCGGAGUUAACGCAAUAAGUACCCCGCCUGGGGAGUACGGCCGCAAGGCUUAAACUCAAAGGAAUUGACGGGG